GUGGUUUAAUUCGAUGCAACGCGAAGAACCUUACCUGGUCUUGACAUCCCGGAGACCCUUAGGAAACUAGGGGUGCUUCCAUCUGGAAGAAUCUGGAGACAGGUGCUGCAUGGCUGUCGUCAGCUCGUGUCGUGAGAUGUUGGGUUAAGUCCCGCAACGAGCGCAACCCUUGCCUUUAGUUGCCAGCAGUUCGGCUGGGCACUCUAAAGGGACUGCCGGUGUUAAACCGGAGGAAGGUGGGGAUGACGUCAAGUCCUCAUGGCCUUUAUGACCAGGGCUACACACGUACUACAAUGGCCGAUACAAAGGGCAGCGACACUGCGAGGUGAAGCCAAUCCCGUAAAAUCGGUCUCAGUCCGGAUUGGAGUCUGCAACUCAACUCCAUGAAGUUGGAAUCGCUAGUAAUCGUGGAUCAGCAUGCCACGGUGAAUACGUUCCCGGGCCUU
This 446-nucleotide ribosomal RNA is filed under the name uncultured Desulfobulbus sp. Its description in RNAcentral is "bacterial SSU rRNA". It matches the Rfam family "Bacterial small subunit ribosomal RNA", at positions 941 to 1382 of the family's 1533-position model. The record is from RNAcentral. Lineage: Bacteria; Pseudomonadati; Thermodesulfobacteriota; Desulfobulbia; Desulfobulbales; Desulfobulbaceae.